UUUAUCUUUUCCAUAUUUUAUUUAUGAUGAAAUAUUCAUCAUACAUAUAACUAUGAAUAUUAUUCAAAUGGCAUUUAAAUUUUCAUAAAUAAUUACAAUAGGUCCCCAACUUACAUGGUUAAUUUGUUUUAAAAAAUUUUGUGUAAAUCUAAAGCCAUGUAAAUCUAAUAAUGCUUAAAUUUGCUAUACAUGAAUGAAAAUAUUAGCAAAUGGAAUGGUCAAAUGAAAUUUAUGAUUCUAUUUUAAUCAUAAAUAAGAAAAUUUAAUGGUAAAAUUGAUAUUUUUGCAAAAAUGUGAAUUUUUUAUUGAAUUUUUCAUUAGUUUUAUGGAAAUCUAACAAAAUUUAAAUGACUUACUCAUUCAUGUAUCUCUGAAAUUGCAUAAGUUGAAAUCAUGUAAGUCUGGGACCUUAUUAUAUUAUGAUUAUUAUUUUUUCACAGAAAAUACUUUUACAAAAUUGCCAAACAGUUCUAAAUAUUAAAUUUUAUUAUAAACUUUUUUAUUUCUAGAUUUAAUGCUACUUUCCAAUUAGUGAUUACAAAGCAAUGGGACUGUUGGUUGAAUGGGCACAUAGUAAAGUGUUAUAUAUUCCUUCAGAUAGCAACCAAUCUCCUGGAGAACAUCUAGUCUCACAUCUUCAAAUUUUUUCAGGAGGGAUAUUGCCAAUUUAUUAAACCCCAUCUUUCACUUGAAAUUGGCUUCUUCAUGGGUAAUCCUAAUAAUGGGUACUGAAAUAGACUAUGAGUGAGUAACCUCUGAUUGGAAAGUGGUUUAAAUAAGAAAGAAGAUGCAGCAUUCUAUAUCCUCUUAUAGAUCAUCUAUUUCUACAAUCAGAUUAAUCAAAAGGUUAAGUAUACAAUCAGAUUCAAGCCCAGAUUUAUCUGUAAAAAUUCUGAAGAUGUACAACUUUGGCUCAAUCUCGGAUUUUCUAAAUGGAAAUCUGUCAUGUAUUCUUAAAUGGCCAGCCUGGAGACUUUUUAGACUUUCACUGGAAAAAAAUUUUUUUUUAGAUUGUAUAUGAUAACUUAUAUUAAUUAUUGAAUUAAUUUUUUCAUCAUUUAUAUAAUCAGAUGGUAUUUUUAAUAUACUAGAAUGAAAAAUGGAUGACAUUUUUGGGUUCAAAAUAUAUAAUUUGCUUUAUUUAAAUUGAUAGUAAUUUUGUUCUUGAUCUAUAAGAAUUUUAUUUACAUAAAUUUUUCAAGAAUGCUCAUACUCGUAAACUGAAGGUAAGAUUGUGUUUUAACUUUUAGAAAUUUUAUCUUUUCAAAUUCAAUGUGCAACACUAUUGACUUAUGACCACUUGUAUUUAAGGCUAUGAUGCAACUAAUAAACUCUAUAAAUGAUUAAUACAAUUCAUGUAUGUAUAAGUCCAUAUGCAAUGGUCCAAUAUAUUAACAGUGUCCAAUGUACUAGCAGAUUCAUGUUUUUAAAUUUGCUACAAUGCUGUGUUGUAUUGUAAUGAAUAAAGGUUAUGAGCAAUUAAUAAAUAAAAGAUAUUUCCUACAUAUUUCCAGAUUGACUUACAAUUUGUAAGUUGAACUAUCUGUAGUUGUUUAUAUUGUAAUUAGUUUUAAAAAUUUUAAUGUUUAUAUUCAUUUAAAUGUUUGUUAUUUAAAUGAAUGUAAUUUACAUUGUUAUUAAAUUAUGAAUUUAAUAUAUGGUACUUGUAUUGUAAAUAAUUUAAAUAUUUUUCUUGGAUAAAAUAAUAAUACAAUGAAUUUUUCUUGUAUAAAAUUUUAUUCAUGAAGUAAACUUUACUAUUCAAUUUAAAUAUUCCAUAUUUUAAAAACAUAUAAAACAAAGUGAAAAUGAUUAAAUUAGUCUUCCAUUUUGAAAAUACACUACUAG
This 1848-nucleotide long non-coding RNA is filed under the name Androctonus crassicauda. The record is from RNAcentral. Lineage: Eukaryota; Metazoa; Arthropoda; Arachnida; Scorpiones; Buthidae.